CAUCCUAUGGAACUUCAGCACUCGGUUUAUGCAACAAUUAGGGUUUUUCCUUGGCCACGGCCGUAACAAUAAUCAAUUCUAAACCAAUCUCCCAGUUUCUUCAUCUCUCUUGCUUAAUUUGUGAGUUAAAUUUUCUAUUCAAUUUGUUCUCCUCUUUUUUAAAUCUGUGAGUUGAAUUUUCUGUCGACGAUUUCACUUAAAAUUGGGGCGAGCUGAAUAACACAGGUGCUCGUAUGACCCAAGUGAAUCGAUAAUCGUCGCAUAAAAAGCCCCCUUCGUUGAGUCGGUGGUUGAGGCAUCCUCUUAAUCUCGUGUUGAGAGGUUGAAUCCCAUUUUUUCCGAAGGGGGCGUUCUCAUAUCCUAUCGCCCUGUGUAGCAGAAUCUCUGCAAUUACGAUUUGGGAAUGGCCAUGAGAAAAACAUUUAGUCUUUUCAUAUAAUUCAAUUCGCAAUUAAGAUACUUUGUUUUAUUGGAAAACGAUCGGGAAAUCGAAAUAAUUGUGCUUAUAGACGGUCUAGUGCUGUUAAGUUUUUUAUACAGCAGCACUUAACAUGAUCAUAAGCUAUACAUAAUUGGAGCCGCGAUGUCUGUGAGGGCUUUUCUCAACUUCAAUGAGAAGGUUUUGAGCGUCGUGGUUCAUAUCUAUUUCUUGAUUAAUUAUUUUGUUAUUUGUUUUUCUAUUUAAUUGUGCUUCAAAAAGUAGAAACCUGUGAUUCAAGCUGAGUAAUGGGAUGCAUCUAGUGAGUAAGAUUCAUUCUAAUUUCAUUAACGAGCCGUUCAAUGCGAUUUGAGUUCUUGUUAUGUUUUAGCACGUUUCUUCUUUAUGCCGUUUUUUAUUUUGUUUUCAAUUAAGCUUUUUUAUUUUGUUAAAAAAUUAAAAAUUCAGUAGAUUUUGAUAAAAUUUUUGAUGUGUUAUUAUUGCUGAAAAUGAGUCUCAGAGAAAACAAGAGCAAAAUUAGUCUAGAAGAAUUUUCCAAAUGGAGCAUUUUCCUUUACCUAGAACUUUCCACAAGCAUAUCCCUCACUUUUGGGGAGGAUUGGAACUUGAUCCUUCGUUCCUAUUUUUGAGCUUAUCGGUUUUAAACGUGCGACUGAGAAGUUUUAUGGUGAAUAAAAAUAUUUAUAACUUCCAAUUAUAAUGCCACAUGGAAUAGGAUCUGUUUAUUGUCCCGCUUAGAAGUUAGAAAUCUAUUUUGAAUUAAGCUCAUGUUUGACGGUGAUUAUUUGGAUAAAAUGAAGUUUUGAGUUGUGAUUUUUUGGGAAGUGUAUUUGUAGCCCAUGUUUGAUCCUUAUUAAAUUACAUUUAUUCCAUUCUAUUUUUUUCUUUUAUUUUUAACCACACAAUUUUUUAUAAAAUAAUAUUACACGUAAAUCAAUUUUUUUUUUUUUCAAUCGCUCAUUUUUUUCAAUAAAAUACUAUUUUCCCUAUUUUCAUUACCAAAAAUGGGGGCCAAACAGGGGUUUAAAGAGGAGGAAAAAUUUUGGGUUGAAAGUAGAAUGUUUUAUUAUGGGGUUGAUUGAGCUCCAUUUUUUUCCAAAAAAAUAAACUUUUAAAUAAUUCUACGAUGAAAAAUGUGUGCUUAAAAAAUAAGAAAAAGUUGUAGAUAUGCAUGUAAUAUUAUUUUAUUAAAAAAUUUGUGGUUUAAAAGAUAUCAAAUUUUUGUUAAAAAAUGUAUUUUGAUGAGCAAGUCUCUGUUUGGCUCCUAUUUUAUAGAAAUGAAAAUAGAUGUGAUAGUGUCUUUUUUUAAAAUUGAAUGGUUGUAAAAGAAGAAAACGUUUUUAAUUUACGUGUAAUAUUAUUUUAUAGAAAAUUGUGUGGUUGAAAAUAGAAAAAAGAAAAGUGGAAUGAAUAUUAACGAGGGCCAAACAGGAGUAAAUGUGGCUCAAAUAAGGGUUAUAAGUGAAUAUAUGAUUGAAAAUGAGUACACAAAAAGAGAGUAUGAUCCUUAUAUUGUAAAGUGAUCGUUAAAGGUGAAUAUGGAUGUAAUAAAUUGUGGAAGACUUGUAUUUUGCUCUUGUUCUCUAUCAUCUCAUGUCCAUGGCAAGCCGUUUCGAAGUGUGCAUGAAAGAGCCACCUCGUAUUUGUGUUGCAAUAGCCAAACUUGAUUCGAAGUGAAUGGUCUCGACUUCGUUGAUUGAGAACUUUAGGGUCUGAUCUCUUUUUCAUUUUUCGCUCGUUUUUUGUUGUCGAUUUUGCAAAAUGAUGGAAACAUGUUUUCUUUCACGUUUUUGAAAAUAAAGUUUUGAAAAAAAAAAUUGCGCUAAAAACUGAAAACAUAAAAAAUGACGUUUUGAGUGUUUUAUGUAGAAAACAAGGGUUUGAUGGAAAACACGAGAAACAAUCCAAAUUCCAAACCAAUCCUACCUCUCUCUCUCGCUGUCGUCCCUUUCUUUCUCGUAACUGUUCUCGCCUCUUCAGCAGAAGGGUUUUCUGUGCACCUCCACUAGCUUCGGUGAACUCUUCAACUCCAAUGGUUUCUUAUUCUCCUCAGUUCGCCUCCUCAAAUCGGUCGGUAUAUUGCCUGAAGAGAGGUAAAUUUUUGUUAAAAUGUCAUCGAUUCCAUUCGCAUUUUUUCCAUUUUUCAGCUAAUUAUAUGUCUUCAUUGCUUAAUUUUCAGCUCCUGUUGCUAUAUAUUUCGUUGAAAUGUUUCGUUACUUUUGAAAAAUUGAUGUGGGUAGCGAUGAUUAUACUAAUUCCUCCUAUUGAUUGUUGUUGCGAGCAUUUUUGUUGACUUUUUGAUCAGUAGUCUAAACUUGACAAUAAAUUCUAGUAUCCAUUGCAUAAAGACAAAUUGAGUGAAUAAUGUUUAGAAACAAAAUCUAGGUCGAAUAUGAGGGGAUAGUUCAGCCUUAUUGAUCGAGAAAGUACUAAUUGCAUUUGAUCUCGAAUUUUGUAGAUUCAAGCCAUUUUUGUUGAUUAUAGAUGGUAGGUGUGAGUAAAGGAGAGAUGGAUUAUCCUUAGUAUCGCUCAGUUCAACUCAUACUACACUGAAGAGACAAGGUUCUGACCUUCUUUAAUGUUAGAAUAGGACUACGAUGCUAUUGUCACUGCUUUUCCUAAAGAGAGUCAAUUUUAGCCUAGUUCAGAAAGCCAAGAAAGAUACUAAACCCCAAUAUCAGACAGGCAAUCUGAACUAACUUUCUACAACCUAGAAGUCUACUAAUUGAAUGAUUUUAUCAUUUUAACUCUAGCUCUAUGAUCUUACUAUUUCUCUAUUUGUUUCACUUUAUAUAGUGGGCCUAUUAAUUUCAAAAAGGGGAGCAGUAAUUUUUUAUUUUGAUGUGUGGUGAUAAUGGAACGUGAACACUAAUUGCAGUAUGUAGGACGUUUCACUUGUGUUAAGUUUUACUUCUUUGUUGGCAGGUAUAUUACUUCACAUUGAUAUUUCUGUUGCUGCAUAUCCAUUUCAUUUUUGCCUAGCCUAUAUACUAUGUAAUAUAUGUUGUCGGCCUGCUUCUCUUCAAUUCUGUGAUGAAUUUUAUUUUCAAUAUGUAUGGUUGAUAAAAAAUUCGUGGAUUUCACGAAAAUUGCUUCUCAGCUUCUCAUCAAUAGCCGAAGUUCAAUGGAGUCCUUCAUGAGGGUGAAAAUUGUUUUGUGGAUUCCUAUCUGAAAUUUUUUCUUUCCUUCAAUUGAGAUUUCUGGUGGGAACUGGAAAUUUAAUAAAAGCGUCUUCAAUCGAGAUAUUCCCUAGUUGACCUUUACGAGCAAAACAAAAUCAUUUGAUAUUAUAUUACACCACUUGUCUUAUGAUUCCAUUAAUUAAAUUAUCUUAAUAUACCAACUUGAUUAGGUUAAGGUCUACCUUCAACCAACUUUCCCUAUAAUUAGAGAUGUUCAUAUGACUAAUUCUCAUCAAUCUUACCCUCUCUCUGUGUUUUGUCUGAAAUAUGCAAAAGAACUGCACUAUAAAUACAUAUUAUUCAAUGAGAAUUACUUCAGUCGGAGAUUUAUUGAUAUGUUGAAGUGCCUUGAUGAUGCAGCCUCCAACUGCAUCUUAUACGGAGAGACUGAACAUUACAAAAACUUUUAGAAAUCAUUCUCUCUAUCAUGCCAUACAUUAAGGAGCUUUUCACUCUUCAAAACCUGCUGGAAUUGUUUGGUAGAUCAGAACCACAUUAUAUAUUUCAGGCAAGCUUUAUCAACUUUCUUUUCGAUACUAUUGGAGAAUUGCUUAGUUGUGAAACAUAUUACAGUGUUCUUGUGAGUAAUCAAGUCAAAGUCCUUUGGAAGGGGGGCAACCAAAUAUCUAAAGUAAAAAUAGUAUUCAGCAAACACAGUGUUCUUGCUUACAAGUACUUAGAGCUUGUUUUGUUGGAGGAAGCAGAAAGUCCCCUAUGACAUCUAAUGCAGUUGUAAAGCGUAAGAAAUUAUAAGCACAAAUUCAAUCUCAUUCAUGCAAAUUAUCAAGAUGGGUCAAUCAAUUCAAUUGGGAGAAGCUCCACUGAUUUUAUAAACAACUAACACCCAAAAUGUUUAAAUUGAGAAAAAGGUAAGAAAAAUCUUAGUCUAGUAUGUAUAUAUAUAUAACAGCCGAAUUCAAAAUAUAUCACAAAUAAGCAUCAAUUGUAUCUAAAAGACAAUCAUUAUUUCUGAAUAUCAAUAGAAAAUCUUUUCAUCAACAAAUGGAAUAACUACUAAGUAUGUGAUUCAUCUUCAUCUCCAAGAAUCUAUUGUUAAUUCUAAUGAAAUCUUGCUACUGAUUGUCUCCUCUUUAUUUUCCAGAUUUGAGGAUUUCUUUGAUUGUUUUCAAUUUUCACAAGUCAAAUUAUUUUUCGCUGGUUCAUAACAAAUAAAAUAGCAACCAAAUAACUAAAGUAAAAAUAGUAACUUCAUUGCAAAGAAUCUUGAAUUUGUAAGUUAAAAUGAUAUUUGGCAACGUGUUGAUCCUUAUAAUUAUGGGUACAUGUGUUAGGUAUGCUUUUGAGCAUUUGGUGGUAUGUGACUAUAAUUAAAUACAUUAAUAUGUCCUCAAAUUGCCUACGAAAAUUUUUAUAUAUUUGAUGAUAAUUAGAUGUAUAUGAAUAUAGCGUCAACAUGGGUGGUCAUAGAGCUCGGAAUAAGGAACUAAUGUCAUGGUCGGACAAGAAUGAGCACGCUUUUAUUGAAGUUCUUUAUGAGAAAGUGAAAUCAAAUGUAUUGCAAUGUUCUACAUUCACAAUAGACAAAUGAGACAGGAUCAAUGAAACCAUGAUAGCUUCAACCAAAAUGGAUUACGGCAUAGAUAGAUAAAAAGGAAAGUGGAAUCCCUUGCAUAAGAUUCAUCGCAUGUUCUCUGAACUUUAGGGAUAAACGAGUGUUACAUGGGAUCCAAAUACCAACAAAGUUAAUGUUGCAGAGGAAGUUUGGCAACACUUUUAUACGGUACAUAUAUUUAUGAAAGAAUAUGUUCGUUCUUAUUUUUUAUCUUAUAAAUUUUAUAUUAUUUUCUUCAACACUCUAACAAUGUGGUUUCUUUUUUCAAUGUUAGAUUAACAAGUCGGAUUACAAGUUGUUCAAGAGGGAAGGAUGUAAGCACUACCACACUCUUAAGGAAAUAUUCUGCGGGACUACAGCUACUGGAGAAUUAGGCAGUGCCUCCACCCAGCGUCCAGACACAUCAAAGGAAGAAAGACAGCUAGAAGAUGAUUUGUUGAAUAGAGGAGUACAUGUGACUGCGGAAAAUGAUGAUGAAGUUGAUGUGGUUUCAAAUACUCGUCCACGUAACGAAAUUGGUACAUCGUGUGAACGAUGACGUAAAGAACCUAAAGUCAGUAAAAGUGAUAAACUCGAGGCCUGUAUGGCACAGUGGUCAUCUACAGUUAGUUGGAGGAAUGAAGAAACUGAAUUUAGAACACUUUACCUAAAAGAGAAGCUUGCAAAGAUCAAAAGAAAAUGUAGUUGUCAAUCAGAUAAAGAAGUUACUAGUCCAGAUCCUUAUUCAAAUGUUACUUGCUUGGACAUUUUAAACAAUAUGGAAGGGGUGUCCAAUGAGGUUUACAUGAAAGCAAUAGAGGCUUUCAAGGAUUCUGAUUUCAGGGUGUCAUUUGUGAAGAUGCUAGAAGUAAGGAGAGGACCUAUCUUGGAACUACUUUGAUGUGAUUGUUGUUUUAAUAUGUGAUUGUUGUUAUGUUGAAGUACCAUGUUAAACUCAAGACUUGAAGUACUUUUUUUUUUUUUUUUCAUUUUGUGGUGGUGUUGUACUGUUUUCAUUUACAAACAUUGUGAUGUUGUUGGUUGGAAAACUGAUGUUGAUUUUUUCUCACUUUUUUAAUGCUUGAUUGCUUGUUUUAUUGAAUUAAUGGUGGUUGAUAUGAUUUAUGAUAAUUAAUUUGGUUAUAUUUGUUUCACAGUAUGGCUAGCGAAUCAAAUGUGGAUGAUAAUGUGCAUGUCGAUGAGUUCAUUGAGGA
This 6387-nucleotide long non-coding RNA is filed under the name Olea europaea subsp. europaea. The record is from RNAcentral. Lineage: Eukaryota; Viridiplantae; Streptophyta; Magnoliopsida; Lamiales; Oleaceae.